GCCCUGGAUAUAUAUUAAAAAGAAGAUGAAGUCCAGAUUGGGCAAUACAACCAAAGGAAAAACAACAACACUAAUGGGUUGGAUUGAGACGUCAACACGCGCCAAACAACCUCAUCAUAACACUCAAACUCAAAAAUGACCAGUUGGAUUGGGACAUCAAUACACGCCGACCUCAACUCAUCUCAACAAACAGCUCCGGUCGGGUCAGAUUGGGACAUCGACACAAGUCGCACAAUGCUAUCGCUCAGCUCAACUCAAAGCUGCAUUGCAACACCCGCUGCCAACGCUAGUACUUCCGCCGCAAACAAUCUUAGCACAUCACCAACUCAGCCACCGUUUCCGCCACCCGCCUCGAAGCUCUAAACUCUGCCUUCAAUGGCCUCAACACCACCACUGCAC
RNAcentral lists this long non-coding RNA (399 nucleotides) under Setaria viridis. Its description in RNAcentral is "long non-coding RNA (SVIR_LNC000371)". The record is from RNAcentral. Lineage: Eukaryota; Viridiplantae; Streptophyta; Magnoliopsida; Poales; Poaceae.